CACAAAUCUCACUCUAACUCCCCCGAUACCCACACACUCUCAGACACACAAACACACACUCGAACACACAAACUGAGAAGAACACGACGGAGGAGGAUAUGAGAUUUAAAGCUUGGUGGAGAUAACACGCAGCUCGGAGAAGUUUAAAGCUCGAAAGGUUCGUUUUUCCCCAAAUUUUCUUCUGUAAAAAUGUUCAUUUUUUGUAGAUGGGUGUUCGAUUAGUGCUAGAUGGGUGUCAAUUCAUGCUUCUUUAUUUAUGUUUUCACUCAAUUGAGUGUUAAUUAGGGUUUAAUUGACUGUCAGUUAUUGAUUCUUGCAUUUCAUUUUACAUGUAUAUGGUAAUUAGGGUUUAUUCGGGUAUUUUCAAAUUUUUGUACUCUUGGUGGUUCUUUCUUAUUCUAAUAAUGAUGAAUGCUAUCAUUGAAACAAUAUGUAAUUUGUGCUAUAUGGAUUACGAGAAUUUCUCCCGGUAUGGUGACAUCAAACAAGCUCAUAAUAUAAUGAUGAUAGAGGUCAAGAUUGACAAACUUGAUUUUCCUAUGCUAUAUCCAUCAAGAUUGGACACCUUGGUCAACCAGAGAUGAUUUUAGGUUAUUUUCCGGUGAUCUUGGAAAUGAGAUGAAUGAUGAUGUUCUCUCAAAAGCAUUCUCACGAUUUCCUUCUUUUAAUAUGGCUAGGGCAAAAUUAUGGAUGACAAGAGCUGCUUGAGUUCGAUCUUUAGUUUGGAAAGUUAGUGAGAAACGACCUGGUUACAAUGCAAGUGAAUCUGAUUCAGAUGAUAUGUUAGAUGGCUGCAAUGGGAAUGGAAGAGACAAAAUCUGCAGAAGUACUACCAAAGUUAAGAGAUGAGUUAGCUUCUCAAACGGAGGACAAAAUGAAGAAGAAGUUGGAGCACUUUAGCCUUAUUUUGCUUGAAAUUUUGUGUUUCUAUUAGACUUGGUUAUGUUCUUAUGUAAAACAACAGUAAUAAGACUAUAAUACUACUUGUCGAUUUUUUGGAUUGGUGA
This is a long non-coding RNA of Daucus carota subsp. sativus, 1007 nucleotides long. RefSeq lists it as uncharacterized. The record is from RefSeq and is a predicted model, not a curated record. The transcript has 4 exons. Lineage: Eukaryota; Viridiplantae; Streptophyta; Magnoliopsida; Apiales; Apiaceae.